Molecule: ribosomal RNA, 1316 nt
Filed under: Phlossa conjucta
Lineage: Eukaryota; Metazoa; Arthropoda; Insecta; Lepidoptera; Limacodidae
Description: 16S ribosomal RNA
Source: RNAcentral
UAAAAAAAAAAUUUCUAAAAUAUAUUUUAAUUGGGGAGUUAAAGUAUUUUUAUAGAAAAAAUAAAAAUUUUUAUAGGGAAUUAUAUGUAAUGUAAAUGAAUUUUGAAAUAAAAUGAAAAUAAAUUUAUAGAAAAGUAAUUUUUAUUUAAUGUAUCUUGUGUAUCAGAGUUUAUUAAAAAAUUUUUUAAUUUUAAAAUUUCUCGAAUUAAAAAGAGUUAAUUAAUUAUAAAAAUUAUUGUAGUAUAAAUAUUUUAUAUAGUUAGUUAGAAAUGAAACGUUAUUCGUUUUUUAAGAUAUCUAGUUUUUUUAGAAAAAAAUUUAAUUUUAAAAUUAUUAAUUAAAAAUAAAAUUAAUUUUCUAAUUAAAUUAAUUUUAUUUAAUAAUUUAAAUAUUUUGAGGGAUAAGCUUUAAAAUAAAUUUUUAUAUUAAAAAAUUUAUUUUUUAAAAUUUUUAAAAUUUAAAUUGUUUAAAAAAUUUAAUUUAUUAUAAAUAAUUUUAAUUAUAAAAAAAAAUUUAAUAUUAAUAAUUAAAUUUUUAUAAAAAAAUUAUUUUUAAUAAUAAAAAUUAAGAUAUAAUGAUAAAAUUAGUAUAAUAUGUAAAAUAAAAAUUUUUAUUUUUUUUUAUAAAUUAAUAAAAAGAAUUCGGCAAAAUUUUAUAUUCACCUGUUUAUCAAAAACAUGUCUUUUUGUUAAUAAUUUAAAGUCUAAUCUGCCCACUGAUUUUAAAUUAAAGGGCUGCAGUAAUUUGACUGUACAAAGGUAGCAUAAUCAAUAGUCUCUUAAUUAGUGACUUGUAUGAAUGAUUUGAUGAGAUAUAAACUGUUUCUUAUUAAAUAUAUUGAAUUUAAUUUUUUAAUUAAAAAGUUAAAAUUUCAUUAAAAGACGAGAAGACCCUAUAGAGUUUUAUAAUAAUAAAUUUAUUUAUUUAUUUUUUAGAUUAAAAAUUUAAAUAAUUUAUUAUUAUUAUGUUGGGGUGAUAGAAAAAUUUAUUUAACUUUUUUUUUUAUUUAAACAUAAAUAAAUGAUUUAAUUGAUCCAAAAUUUUUGAUUAUAAGAAAAAAUUACCUUAGGGAUAACAGCGUAAUUUUUUUUUUUAGUUCAAAUAAAAAAAAAAGUUUGCGACCUCGAUGUUGGAUUAAGAUAAAAUUUAAAUGCAAAAGUUUAAAAUUUUGAUCUGUUCGAUCAUUAAAAUCUUACAUGAUCUGAGUUCAAACCGGUGUAAGCCAGGUUGGUUUCUAUCUUUAAUAAAAUAAAAUAUUAUAGUACGAAAGGAUUUAAUAUUUAAAAUAAUUUUAUUAUUAGUUUGAAUUUUAUUAA